RNAcentral lists this long non-coding RNA (1260 nucleotides) under Bemisia tabaci. RNAcentral describes it as "lncRNA ENSSSA1NGG001650". Lineage: Eukaryota; Metazoa; Arthropoda; Insecta; Hemiptera; Aleyrodidae. The record is from RNAcentral.
AUGCAUGACUCAAGUUCAUCCCCCGAAUCCCACGGGGGAUCACUCCAUGAACCCCCUGGAGACCUUGGCUUAAACCCCACUAACACCUCUACGCCUUUACCUAGCCCACAAUCUACCCCUACCACUCUUAUAAAUGCGAAUAGAUCUAGUACGUCUGAUCCUUCUAGAAAGGCAUUCAUUGUCAGAGAUAAAUCUAGCCUAAGAUACCAGCCAAAUUCACCUGCUCCUUUCAUCGUAGCAAUAGCAAAAGAAGGCAUAGGAAAUAAGCACCCAACGUUAAUUGGAGAACUUUUCUAUAAAAAUAAGGUUGAAGGAAUUAAAUCUAUUUCCAGAGUGAAUAAAGACGUUAUUAAUGUGGAACUAAUCUCUAAGAGCUAUGCCAACAACCUGGUGGACAAGCAAACCUCUCUCAUUCCGUAUGACCACUUUUCCUGCUACAUUCCUCUCAAAUAUACCACUCGAAGAAUCAUUGCGAAUAAUGUACACCAUGAGUUAGACAUUGAUAGUAUAGGCGAAUUUCUUGAAGAAAAAUAUGACAAUAUCAUAAGCGUUAGAAGAAUUUUUAGGAAAAAUGAGGAUAAUGCUUUAAUCCCAACCUCUAAACUAGAUAUUCUUUGGCAAGGUUCGACCAUGCCUGAUUUCCUUUAUAUUUUUUACGCCAAAUGUAACGUUACUCCUUAUAUCUACAAUGUAACCAAAUGCCUAAACUGCCUAAAUUAUGGUCAUCGUGCCGAGUAUAACGGGAACCUAACUUGUAAAAGCCAGAAACGAUGUCAAAAAUGUGCUACUCUACAUGUAGCUCAAGAUAUAUGUCCACACCCGGUGAAAUGUUUCCACUGUUCCGAAAAUCACCUCACUUUCUCCCCUGAAUGCCCUGAACUAAUAAAACAAAAAACUAUUAAAGAAAUAAUGGCUCACCAGAACAUAUCCUACGCAGUAGCGUUAAAGAUUUUUAAUGUUCAACAAUCGGAACCCUCAACUUCAAACAUUAAUGAACGCAUUCAAAAUAUCCAAAAGAACUCAAGGAAUAACGAAAGAAAUUCUCUUGAGGUAUUACAAGACGCUAAUUUUCCUCCCGUAAAUAAUUCUUUCUCUAAUCUAGCUGAACCUAUGGAUGUAGUUAACACUUAUAGGUAUUCUUUGGAAGACCUGAGGAGACCUUAUGCUGAGGCAGUGGCCUCCCCCUCUCCCACUAGGAAAAAAUCCAAACCCUCCUUUGACGACUCUCUCCCUUCUGCCGAAUGGAUCAAAAAAAUAUAG